GUUAGCAUUGGCUUCGUGCAAACAUAAUAUCCUUGGGUUUGAUGUUCUAGCAGGCAGAAGAUGGCACCUUCCUGACGGAACAUUAUGGAGCUUUGGUGCUUAUGAGAUGAGGAACAAGAGGCAAAGCAGUUCCUAGUCUUUCAUCCACAGUGACAGCAAUCCAAGCGGCUUCUCACACCUGGAUGGCGACUCUAGACGUGAAGGACAUGUUCUUCAUGGUGCCGUUGAGAGAAGAGGACAAACCGCAGUUUGCUUUUACCUGGCAAGCCUUUCUGGUUUUUUCCCCGGACUUAACAACAACAAGCUGCUCACCGAUCUAGUCUCGCCUCGGGUGGACCCCGAGUCGCGGAGACUACAUUCUGCAUGCCUGGACCCUUAUCGGGAGAAUGAGAGACUCCUUACCAAGCUAUAGACUGUGAGUAGCUGACUGACGAACUAUUAACUCAAACCAGAGACUCAAAGAACUCUCUUUAAACAUCAUAGACUCUAUAAUUUGCCAUUUUCGGAAAUGUUACUUUGAUCUCAAUCAAAAAGAAUUCACAGUGGUGGUGUAGUUUCGGGAAGAGGGAAUCCGCAUUCUUUGCAAUAAAUCACUGAUAAAAUA
Long non-coding RNA from Pogoniulus pusillus (Red-fronted tinkerbird), 604 nucleotides. RefSeq lists it as uncharacterized. NCBI's taxonomy places the organism in Eukaryota, Metazoa, Chordata, Aves, Piciformes, Lybiidae. The record is from RefSeq and is a predicted model, not a curated record. The transcript is spliced from 3 exons.